Molecule: ribosomal RNA, 515 nt
Filed under: uncultured bacterium
Lineage: Bacteria
Description: partial 16S ribosomal RNA
Rfam family: Bacterial small subunit ribosomal RNA
Source: RNAcentral
GAUGAACGCUGGCGGCGUGCCUAAUACAUGCAAGUCGAGCGAAUGGAUUAAGAGCUUGCUCUUAUGAAGUUAGCGGCGGACGGGUGAGUAACACGUGGGUAACCUGCCCAUAAGACUAGGAUAACUCCGGGAAACCGGGGCUAAUACCGGAUAACAUUUUGAACCGCAUGGUUCGAAAUUGAAAGGCGGCUUCGGCUGUCACUUAUGGAUGGGCCCGGGUCGCAUUAGCUAGUUGGUGAGGUAACGGCUCACCAAGGCAACGAUGCGUAGCCGACCUGAGAGGGUGAUCGGCCACACUGGGACUGAGACACGGCCCAGACUCCUACGGGAGGCAGCAGUAGGGAAUCUUCCGCAAUGGACGAAAGUCUGACGGAGCAACGCCGCGUGAGUGAUGAAGGCUUUCGGGUCGUAAAACUCUGUUGUUAGGGAAGAACAAGUGCUAGUUGAAUAAGCUGACACCUUGACGGUACCUAACCAGAAAGCCACGGCUAACUACGUGCCAGCAGCCGCAGUAA